This 723-nucleotide ribosomal RNA is filed under the name Triticum aestivum (bread wheat). RNAcentral describes it as "partial small subunit ribosomal RNA". Lineage: Eukaryota; Viridiplantae; Streptophyta; Magnoliopsida; Poales; Poaceae. The record is from RNAcentral.
AUGAGCUUCUAUAGCCUCCAUGAGUCUCUCCACAAGGAGAUCGCCAAGAUCCAGUCCCGCUUCUACUGGGCUGGCGAGCAUGAUAAGCAGAAGUACCACAUGGUCAGUUGGCCUGACAUCUGCAAGCCCAGGGAGCAAGGUGGCCUGGGCAUCAUGUGCUCCAAGAGGAUGAAUAUAGCCCUUCUCUCCCGCUGGCUCUGGCGCAUCGCCCAAGGUCAUGGCGGCCUCUGGCUCGACAUUAUCCGGAAUAAAUACCUGCGGGGCCAGCCACUUGCCUUCUGCCAGAAAUCGGGCGGCUCCCAGUUCUGGCAGUCUAUUGUUCAGCUUCUCCCGGUGCUUCGCAUUGGGACCUCCAUCUCGGUGGGGUCCGGCCUCUCGACGCUCUUCUGGUUUGAUCGUUGGGCCGGAGACUCCCACUUUGCGGCCCGCUUCCCCGCCCUCUUCUCUAUCUCCGUCGACCCCAUGAUUUCGGUCAAUAGGGCUCUUCUUGACCUGGGGCGCCUUGCUUUCCGUCGCCCUUUUGGGCCGGCGGAAUCCGCUGCCUGGCGUGAGUUGCUUGAUUGCGUCGCGUUGCACGAGCCGUUGGUGGAUGGCAGGUCGGACCGUGUCCGGUGGCGGCUGGAGCCGUCGGGCCUGUUCUCCACCAAGUCGCUUUACUCGGCCAUUGCCCCUUCCUCCGCCCCCUCCCCUUAUCGAUGGUUUGGUCCGUCCGCGUACCACUGA